This 787-nucleotide long non-coding RNA is filed under the name Homo sapiens (human). Its description in RNAcentral is "long non-coding RNA NONHSAT172538.1". Lineage: Eukaryota; Metazoa; Chordata; Mammalia; Primates; Hominidae. The record is from RNAcentral.
GACAAAUCCCCCAGGGGGUAAAGGAAGUGGUAUCUUUGACGAAUCAACCCCCGUGCAGACUCGACAGCACCUGAACCCACCUGGAGGGAAGACCAGCGACAUUUUUGGGUCUCCGGUCACUGCCACUUCACGCUUGGCACACCCAAACAAACCCAAGGAUCAUGUUUUCUUAUGUGAAGGAGAAGAACCAAAAUCGGAUCUUAAAGCUGCAAGGAGCAUCCCGGCUGGAGCAGAGCCAGGGUAUAGAGCGAGUUCCAAGAACCAGGCUAGGAAAUGACACGCUAAGUUUCCUAUUUCUAGCAGCUGCCAAGGCCACCAGCAAGCAUGGGAACCUCUGGGAGUCACAGCUCCUCCGUCUCCAGAGGCCUGGCAGUGGCCAAGUCUAGAAGGACGCGGGUGCCACCUGGUACAGGGUGAGGGUGUGAAUAACAGACCCCGAAGGGUUGCCACCUCGAGCCCCGUGCCUUGUCCAGGAAUACACAGGCUCUUUUGAUGUCAGGUAACUUUGCCAUAUGAUCUUUGUGGUGUACCUGGUAGGUCACACCCUGUGAGUGUGUAGAUGCCUCCUCCCGUGCUGGCUGCUUAAUUUCUUCUGCACUCAUAAUCCUGACCAUCUUGAAGAUCAUCACUGAAAUACUCCUGUGUAAUGUGUGGCUACAAAGUGCUAUCUAAAGAUGCUCUCUCAAACUCAGCUCAUGAAGAUGAGAGGAACAUCACAGGGAACUGUGUGGCUUCUUAGCAGGCAUCAGGGCAGAUACUUAGAAAUUAAAGUUGAAUUUUAGAAACU